CCUACGGGAGGCAGCAGUGAGGAAUAUUGGUCAAUGGCCGAAAGUCUGAACCAGCCAAGUAGCGUGAAGGAUGACUGCCCUAUGGGUUGUAAACUUCUUUUAUAUGGGAGUAAAACAGGGUAUGCAUACCCUCUUGUGUGUACCAUAUGAAUAAGGAUCGGCUAACUCCGUGCCAGCAGCCGCGGUAAUACGGAGGAUCCGAGCGUUAUCCGGAUUUAUUGGGUUUAAAGGGAGCGUAGGUGGAUUGUUAAGUCAGUGGUGAAAGUUUGCGGCUCAACCGUAAAAUUGCAGUUGAAACUGGCAGUCUUGAGUGCAGUAGAGGUGGGCGGAAUUCGUGGUGUAGCGGUGAAAUGCUUAGAUAUCACGAAGAACUCCGAUUGCGAAGGCAGCUUACUGGACCGCAACUGACACUGAUGCUCGAAAGUGUGGGUAUCAAACAGGAUUAGAUACCCUUGUAGUC
Molecule: ribosomal RNA, 460 nt
Filed under: uncultured bacterium
Lineage: Bacteria
Description: partial 16S ribosomal RNA
Rfam family: Bacterial small subunit ribosomal RNA
Source: RNAcentral